Molecule: ribosomal RNA, 1429 nt
Filed under: uncultured Bordetella sp.
Lineage: Bacteria; Pseudomonadati; Pseudomonadota; Betaproteobacteria; Burkholderiales; Alcaligenaceae
Description: partial 16S-23S ribosomal RNA intergenic spacer
Rfam family: Bacterial small subunit ribosomal RNA
Source: RNAcentral
GUUCGAUCUGGCUCAAGAUUGUUUGGCGGGAUGCUUACGCUACCAGUCGAGCGGCGCUGGACUUCCGGUCUGGUGGCGGUUGACGGCGAACGGGUGAUGAUAGCAAUGGGAACAUUGCUAAAUGGCGGGGGAUAACUACGCGGCGCGUAUCAUCUACUGCCACGUUCAGGAAAGCCGGGGGACCUUCGGGCCUGCACUAAUGGAAGCGGCCAGUAUCGGAUUGCUGGUUGGUGGGAACAACGGCUCUACAGGCGACGAUCUGGCGGCAUUGUUUGAGGACGACCAGCCACACUGGACGAGACACAUGCCGACUCCUACGGGAGGCAGCAGUGGGGAAAUUUUUGGACAAUGGAAACCCUGAUCCAGCCUUCCCGUGUGCGAUGAAGGCCUUCGGGUUGUAAAGCACUUUUGGCAGGAAAAAACGGCACCGGGAUAUUACCCGUGCAACUGACGGUACCUGCAAAGAUAAGCGCAAUACUUUACGUGCCAGCAACCGCGGUAGCUGUAGGGUGCAAGCGCCGUCGGAAUUACUGGGCGUAAAGCGUGCGCAGGCGGUUCAGAAGAAAAAUCUUUAAAUCUGAAACUUAACUUUGGAACUGCAUUUUAACUACCGAAGCUAGGUGUGUCAGAGGAGGUGGAAUUCCGCGUGUAGCAGUGAAAUGCAUGAAUGUGCGGAGAACACCGAUGGCGAAGGCAACCUCCUGGGAUAACAUAGCGCUCCAUGCACACAGCGUGGGAGCAAACGAGAUUAGAAUACCUGGUAGUCCGCCUAAACGUGUCAAUAGCUGUUGGGGCCUUCGGGCGCUGUUGGCCGCAACUAACGCGUGAGGUGAGCCGCCUGAUGCACAUUCGCAAGAUUAAAACUCAAAAUUGACGGGACCUUUCAACAGUGGAUGAUGUGGAUUAAUUCGAUGCAACGCGAAAAACCUUACCUCUACAUAACUGUCCAGAAUCCCGAAGAGAUUUGGGAGUAGCUGAAGAAACCGGAACACAGGUGCUGCAUGGCUGUCGUCCAGCUCGUGUCGGAUGUUGGGUUAAGUCCCGCAACGAGCGCAACCCUUGUCAUUGGUUGCUGCGAAAGGGCACUCUAAUGAGACUGCCAUUGACAAACCGGAAGGAAGGUCGAAGGAUGACGUCCAAGAGUCGCGAAGCCCUUAUGGGUUAGGGCUUCGCGUCAUCAAUGGUCGGGACAGAGGGUACUUAAACCACGGGGAAGUAGUCGAAAACCGAUCUGAUGGAUCGCAGUCUGCGCUCGACUGAUGAAGGUGGUCGCUAGUGUCGCGGAUCAGCAUGUCGCGGUGAAUACGUUCCCGGGUCUUGUACACCGCCCGUCACACCAUGGGGUAGGUUUUACCAGAAGUAGUUAGCCUAACCGUAAGGGCGAUUACGGUAGGAUUCAUGACUGGGGUGAAGUCAUGGCUAAAGGUAA